RNAcentral lists this ribosomal RNA (481 nucleotides) under uncultured bacterium. RNAcentral describes it as "bacterial SSU rRNA". It matches the Rfam family "Bacterial small subunit ribosomal RNA", at positions 29 to 521 of the family's 1533-position model. The record is from RNAcentral.
AGUGAACGCUGGCGGCGUGCUUAACACAUGCAAGUCGAACGGUAACAGGAACUAGCUUGCUAGUUUGCUGACGAGUGGCGCACGGGUGAGUAAUAUAUAGUUAAUGUACCCUAAAGACUGGGAUAGCCACUGGAAACGGUGAUUAAUACUAGAUACACCUCUUUAAUAUAAGUUAGAGAGGGAAAUGUCUUUUCGCUUUGGGAUCAGACUAUAUCCUAUCAGUUAGUUGGUGAGGUAAUGGCUCACCAAGGCAAUGACGGGUAGCGGUUCUGAGAGGAUGAUCCGCCACACUGGUACUGAGACACGGACCAGACUCCUACGGGAGGCAGCAGUGAGGAAUAUUGCACAAUGGGGGGAACCCUGAUGCAGCAACGCCGCGUGGAGGAUGACGCAUUUCGGUGUGUAAACUCCUUUUAUAUGUCAAGAAAAUGACGGUAGCAUAUGAAUAAGCACUGGCUAACUCCGUGCCAGCAGCCGCGGU